GCCAGGCGCAGUGGCGUGUGCCUGUAGUACCAGCUACUUGGGAGGCUGAGGCUGGAGGAUUGCUUGAGUCCAGGAGUUCUGGGCUGUAGUGCCCUAUGCCUAUCGGGUGUCUGCACUAAGUUUGGCAUCAAUAUGGUGACCUCCUGGGAGUGGGGGACUACCAGGUUGCCUAAGGAGGGGUGAACCGGCCCAGGUUGGAAAUGGAGCAGGUCAAAACUCCUGUGCUGAUGAGUAGUGGGGUCGUGCCUGUGAAUAGCCACUGCACUCCAGCCUGGGCAACAUAGGGAGACCCCGUCUCU
Molecule: signal recognition particle RNA, 299 nt
Filed under: Aotus nancymaae (Ma's night monkey)
Lineage: Eukaryota; Metazoa; Chordata; Mammalia; Primates; Aotidae
Description: Metazoan signal recognition particle RNA (ENSANAG00000010283.1)
Rfam family: Metazoan signal recognition particle RNA
About the family: The signal recognition particle (SRP) is a universally conserved ribonucleoprotein.
Source: RNAcentral